AUACGGAGGAUGCAAGCGUUAUCCGGAUUUAUUGGGUUUAAAGGGUGCGUAGGCGGAUGAUUAAGCGUGAGGUGAAAUGCCACUGCUCAACAGUGGAACUGCCUCGCGAACUGGUUGUCUUGAAUGCUCCUGACGUGGGAGGCAUGUGUGGUGUAGCGGUGAAAUGCAUAGAGAUCACACAGAACACCGAUUGCGAAGGCAUCUCACGAAGGGGUGAUUGACGCUGAGGCACGAAAGCGUGGGGAUCAAACAGGAUUAGAUACCCUGGUAGUCCACGCAGUAAACGAUGAUAACUAACCGCUGGGUCGUAGUGAUUCAGUGGCCAAGCGAAAGCGAUAAGUUAUCCACCUGGGGAGUACGACCGCAAGGUUGAAACUCAAAUGAAUUGACGGG
Molecule: ribosomal RNA, 393 nt
Filed under: uncultured bacterium
Lineage: Bacteria
Description: partial 16S ribosomal RNA
Rfam family: Bacterial small subunit ribosomal RNA
Source: RNAcentral